Long non-coding RNA from Asparagus officinalis (garden asparagus), 1649 nucleotides. RefSeq lists it as uncharacterized. NCBI's taxonomy places the organism in Eukaryota, Viridiplantae, Streptophyta, Magnoliopsida, Asparagales, Asparagaceae. The record is from RefSeq and is a predicted model, not a curated record. The transcript is spliced from 3 exons.
UGUGACCAAUACAAGGGUGAAACUACCAUAUACCUAUCUAAUGAUAUGGUAUACACUCCACUAUACUUCUCUUAUGUCAGCUACUACCAGAUGUGAGGAGGGGGCCUCAUUACUAUAGCGAUAUGAGACCCUAAAAUGAAUAGUUAAGUAUGCUAUGAGGAUUUGUUGAAUUGUGUAGAAUAAGGACAAAUUCUACCUCUGCUACUGCUUCCUUGACAUCUCUGGGACUAAAUUUGGUGAUGAGUUCGAGGACAGUCUGGGAGCUGAGGGGUUUACCUAUUUAACUAGCAGAUAUUUUAAGUGGUUAGUAAAUAUCAGGCCUAGGCAUUCUGUUGCUUUAUUAUAUGGUAUGGAGUGCAAGGUUGAGCCCUAUCUCCCUUUCCACUUCGCAUGAUAGUUUAGGUACAACCAAUCUUAUAUUGGUAAUCCCAACACCGAGCUGUUGUGCUUGGGGAGUCUGAUAGAUGGAGCCCGCAUUUAUCACUUCAGCACCAAAUGUUUAUUUUGUUAUACAAAAUCCCUAACUAUUAUAUGACUUUAAGGUUUUUAAAUGGUAUAGUAUGAUGAAUGUCACCAACCCGCAGUUUAAGAUCAACAAGUCUGGAGUGAAGUGGAUCAUUCGGAAGUAUGAAGAAGCUUCUAGGAAAGGAUGCAAAAGUAGAGCUACUAGACUCUAUGAAUAUCUUGCGAAGGUAGGGAGAACACUACGACUAUGAUGAUGAUCCGAAUGUACCCGAUGAGAAGUUCCCCCAUGAAUAAUGCAAGCACCAAUGCUUGGAAUCACCGGUAAAGGAGAAAUCUUUUGAAGCUCGAACACACGGACCGGUGGCCGAGUAUAUGGCCGCUUUAGAGAAAGCAUUUACACAGCCCAAUUGAAUGGAUUCAGAUGAGGAGAGGGACGAUUAUGAGAUGAACACUUAUAUUACUAACCCGAUGAAUCCAGUCUUGGAAAUGACACGGCCAGAUCUUCCUACAUCCCAUAUAGUGGACCUGAACCAGAAACCAUUACGACUAUGAUUUCCACGCCUUCCGUUGUUGUUUUGCCUUCGGCUCUUAUUGUGAACUUGAUGAUGCUUGAGUCCUAUAGGGAUGCAAGCACUUCUAAGCUCCCUAAAGAAGAUGAACUGAGGAUCGAGUCUAAACCUGAACCCCAAGUCUGAACCAGAAGCUAUUACGGCUGCGGCUGAGAAGUUGUCCAGAGCUAAAAUUACCCUAUCAGUGAUGAGCCUAUAGUCACAGCUACAAUGACAGCGAGCGUCAUACAGCCUUUUGAGCCAUUAGUUGGACCAACUUAGGAUUCACUGCACUCUCGUUGAUGUUUCAAGUAUGUUGGCUUCACUUGCUUCGUUUUUUAUUCCAGCCAUAGGCCAACUUUUGAUAGAUCCAGUUGCUUUUCCUACCAUAACUGAGGCCUUGACUGUUGUGACUGAGGCGAGCUCAUCAACACAAGUGGUGAUCGAGAAUCCUUCAUCUUUAGAAUCUGAUGAUUUGACUAAGUCAGAGAUCCAGAUUUUGAUUAAGAGCCUGAUGAAGCUCUUUAGUAAGAGUGUUGAGAGGGCUUCGGUUGAUAGUAAGCGUUUAUCCACUCAUAUCAAACACUUGCUUGUAGAUGUUAGCUCGGCAUUCUUGCUUUCAACUACUAGAGCCGA